Molecule: non-coding RNA, 73 nt
Organism: Cordylochernes scorpioides
Lineage: Eukaryota; Metazoa; Arthropoda; Arachnida; Pseudoscorpiones; Chernetidae
Source: the annotation of a GenBank genome assembly
GUUCAGGGGCGGGAAUCGAACCCACGACCUUCCGCUUACCGGGAAGAUGCCAUGUCCACUAGGCUACCCUGGA